Molecule: ribosomal RNA, 449 nt
Filed under: uncultured bacterium
Lineage: Bacteria
Description: partial 16S ribosomal RNA
Rfam family: Bacterial small subunit ribosomal RNA
Source: RNAcentral
AACGAACGCUGGCGGCAGGCGUAACACAUGCAAGUCGAACGAGAUCUUCGGAUCUAGUGGCAGACGGGAGAGGAACACGUGGGAACAUCCCUUUCAGUUCGGAAUAACGUUGGGAAACUAACGCUAAUACCGGAUACGUCCUUCGGGAGAAAGAUUUAUCGCUGAAAGAUUGGCCCGCGUCUGAUUAGCUAGUUGGUGAGGUAAUGGCUCACCAAGGCUACGAUCAGUAGCUGAUCUGAGAGGAUGAUCAGCCACAUUGGGACUGAGACACGGCCCAAACUCCUACGGGAGGCAGCAGUGGGGAAUAUUGGACAAUGGGCGCAAGCCUGAUCCAGCCAUGCCGCGUGAGUGAUGAAGGCCUUCGGGUUGUAAAGCUCUUUUAUCCGGGAAGAUAACGACUGUACCGGAAGAAUAAGCCCCGGCAAACUUCGUGCCAGCCGCCGCAGUAA